Molecule: long non-coding RNA, 343 nt
Filed under: Manihot esculenta (cassava)
Lineage: Eukaryota; Viridiplantae; Streptophyta; Magnoliopsida; Malpighiales; Euphorbiaceae
Description: long non-coding RNA (MESC_LNC004673)
Source: RNAcentral
UUAACCUUGUUCCAGAACUUGUUCUUCUUAGACUUCCUGGGACCUCUGUCCCACUUCUUGCUACCUGAAGCUGCUGCACUCAUUGAAGAAGAGCCUGGGGUCUUAGAACCAGAAGGCUGUGCCACUGACUGUUUAACUGUCCCCUGAACGAUGGCACUAGCCUCCAUUUUCCGGGCCAUAUCCACUAUGGCAUGGAAGCUCUCCCUAUCUGCUGACUGGAUCAAGGAGGAAUAUCUGGAGUGGAGUUUCAUGAUAUACCUCCUUGACCUUUUCUGGUCUGAGUCAAGGUUUUGCCCUGCAAAUGGCAACAGCUCCAAGAAUCUGUCUGUGAACUCCUCUACAC